GGGCUCGUAGCUCAGCUUGGUAGAGCAGCGGACUCUUAAUCCGCGUGUCGUGGGUUCCAGCCAGCAAUCCCA
This 72-nucleotide transfer RNA is filed under the name Candidatus Micrarchaeota archaeon CG1_02_47_40. RNAcentral describes it as "tRNA-Lys". It matches the Rfam family "tRNA", at positions 1 to 62 of the family's 71-position model. From Rfam's summary of the family: Transfer RNA (tRNA) molecules are approximately 80 nucleotides in length. Their secondary structure includes four short double-helical elements and three loops (D, anti-codon, and T loops). Further hydrogen bonds mediate the characteristic L-shaped molecular structure. tRNAs have two regions of fundamental functional importance: the anti-codon, which is responsible for specific mRNA codon recognition, and the 3' end, to which the tRNAs corresponding amino acid is attached (by aminoacyl-tRNA synthetases). tRNAs cope with the degeneracy of the genetic code in two manners: having more than one tRNA (with a specific anti-codon) for a particular amino acid; and 'wobble' base-pairing, i.e. permitting non-standard base-pairing at the 3rd anti-codon position. The record is from RNAcentral. Lineage: Archaea; Nanobdellati; Microcaldota. RNAcentral also lists the same sequence under 1 other name.